This 2772-nucleotide long non-coding RNA is filed under the name Homo sapiens (human). RNAcentral describes it as "HSALNT0101871". Lineage: Eukaryota; Metazoa; Chordata; Mammalia; Primates; Hominidae. The record is from RNAcentral.
CUGCGGAGUAAGUUCAAAGAGGAGAGAGAAAUGUCAUCUCUAAAAUGGUGUAACAUUAGGUAUCGUUUAAGAUCCAGGAGAAAAGCAGAGACCAAGAAGAAACACGUCAUUAUGAGCCUGCUCUCGCUAGAGGCAUAGUGAAGGAAGGGCUGAGUGCAAGAAAGCAUGUUAAGCAAAGAGACGUGUGAGUGUGUGAGUUAAUGUAAAACCUGGAAUGGAACAGUCAUAACGAGGAGUCACCAAGGCCAAAUUACCCUCCUGAACAAAGACACGGGGGUGGAGAGGAGGGUGCUUAGAGCCACAGCGACGUGAGAUUGCGGCUUCAUCUGGGAGGAAAGUGAGUCUCAUUAUCCUCAGGCUCAGAAAAUCACUAAAGUUCAGCACUUGAAUGAGAGGGCACUGGGUCCACGCUGGAGCAUCCCAGAGCUGAUCAAUCCCUCUGGAAGCAGGGACACCCCUGGCUCCAUAGGAUUCCAUUUUGCUGAACUACUGGUUCAGAAACACAAGAGCCUGACAUCUAUGGGAACACAGAGCCAGAAAACCCAGGCACAGACCAGGACAUCUCCGAGGUAUUUCCAGCAGGUAUCUGCUAGACGCGUUCUCUCUGCCAGCCCGCUGACUUGCUAGCUGUGGAGCAACUGCAGUACGUGCCCGUCCCUGUCACCAGGGGCUGGCCAUCAACAGAAGCUGCUCCUUCCAAGCCGGCCACGCGUCUACUACUUCAUCAUCCUCUCGGGGGAUAAAAAUCCCUGGAGCAAACCCUCUCCUUCCUCCCAAAGGAGCCAUGGGAAGCCACUCUCUACAAUUUGCAGCAAACACGGAAGCACCAGAAUCCUGCACGUAUGCUCGGAGGAAACGCACAGAGGACAAAUGCAGGGUCGCAGGAUACAAGAAUGGCAAAGGCUGACUCCAGAGAACGUUGUUAAGCUUCAAAUCUAUACUGUGCAUUGGAAGGUAAACAAGCAUCAUCCACACAACUAACUGACUGCAUUCACCAGCACACUCUGAAGUCUUCAACUACUGCUAUUAAUCUAUUUUUCUCAACAUUAUUUUCUUUCCUCAUUCUUGGAUUUCUUUUUAUUUAUGUAUUUAUUUUUUGAGAUGGAGUCUUGCUCUGUCGCCAGGCUGGAGUGCAGUGGCGCGAUCUCAGCUCACUGCAACCUCUGCCUCCCGGGUUCAAGUGAUUCUCCUGCCUCAGCCUCCUGAGUAGCUGGGACUACAGGCACAUGUCACCACGCCCAGCUAAUUUUUGUAUUUUCAGUAGAGACGAGGUUUCACCAUGUUGGCCAGGAUGGUCUCCAUCUCUUGACCUCGUGAUCCACCCACUUCGGCCUCCCAAAGUGCUGGGAUUAUAGGCGUAUGCCACUGCGCCUGGCCUCAUUCUCGGAUUUCUUUAACCUCUCCUUGGAGGGGACACAGAACUGGAUGACAAGGAAGAAACACUCCUGGGAGAUGUGGUUGGGGGCAGGAUAGAGAGAACAAAGGCCAGGGCCAGGCAAGGCUGGGGAAAGGAUGAAGGCUGAGAUUUGGGGGGUGAGGGAGGUGUCCAGAAGAUGAUGAGACGUUCAGGAGAAUGGGAGGGCAGGAAAACAGGGCAAGGUUUGGACGGGUCUCCCCGCUGCCGGGGGUCUGGUACUGCCUGUGCAGCGCAGGCUGGAGGGAAAAUGUAAGCUGCCCAGUGCCGCUGCCCUGCCCACCCCUGCUGCACCUCUGAGUCACUCAGUUCUUCCAAAGGAAAAGCUGGGAAGAAGGAGUUCGGUGUCUGGACUUCUAAUCAGCUUGUUCCUUACAGCACUAUUUACUGAGGGAAAGAUUUUAAAUGUUCAGCUAGGAAAACUGGUGGAAUAUAUUAGGAUACAUCAUGACAAAAAGAUGCAGCCUUUGACACACAACCUCUUAUAGUAUUUUUAACAACAGGCGGAAAGAGCCCUAUGUAACAUGAAGAAAAGUUAGAGACAAAGCCAUAUAUAUGUACGGUCCAGUCAGAUACCAAUUAGAUAAGCAGACUCGACAGAGACUAGAAAGAACACACGAAAAGCAGUAACAGGGACUAUUCUGUACUGGAGAAUUAAGGGCUAUUUUUCUUUUUUUCCAUUUUGGUAAUUUUGCAGGUUCUCUAGAAGCAUAAUUUGUGUUUGUAAUCUUUUUUUUUUUUUUUUUUUUUUGAGACAGUCUCACUCUGCCACCUAGGCCGGAGUGCAGUGGUGCGAUCUCGGCUCAUGGCAACCUCCGCCUCCCGGGUUCAAGUGAUUCCCGUGCUUCAGCCUCCUGAGUAGCUGGGAUUAGAGACACGCGCCACCACGGCCGGCUAAUUUUUGUAUUUUAGUAGAGAUGAGGUUUCACCAUGUUGGCCAGGUUGGUCUCAAACUCCUGACCUCGGGUGAUCUGCCUGCCUUGGCCUGCCAAAGUGCUGGGAUUACAGGCGUGAGCCACCACGCCUGGCUGUAUCUGUAAUCUUUAGAGGUAUUAAAAAAAAUAUAUCUUCAACUAAAGCUUAGACUGAUAGAAGAGGCAAAAGCAGGGCAAGAGAGAGGUGGCCCGACGCACACAUUUUGGUUGCUGGGGUCUCAUAACAGAACGGAACUUCUGAGGAUUCUGCCCCAUGCCCUGCUCUGGGGAGAGGGGUCCAUCGCCACCCCGCACAGCCGGUGAGUCCCCACACCAGCAGCCCCAGCCCCCACUCGCCUCGCCGCUCUGCAAUCUGCAGGUAGCCAGUGGACAGGUACUGCUCCAUGUCCUGCUGGAAGGCUUCCUCAAAAAACUUCUGCCGCU